Molecule: non-coding RNA, 29 nt
Filed under: Mus musculus (house mouse)
Lineage: Eukaryota; Metazoa; Chordata; Mammalia; Rodentia; Muridae
Source: RNAcentral
UGGAAGCUCACGCAUGUGACUCCAGUUGC